Molecule: long non-coding RNA, 5053 nt
Organism: Manis javanica (Malayan pangolin)
Lineage: Eukaryota; Metazoa; Chordata; Mammalia; Pholidota; Manidae
Source: RefSeq, a predicted model, not a curated record
GCUCCUGCUUCGUUUCUGCUGAGCUAGACCCAGCGAGCCUAGAGAGUUGGGCUGAAUAACUGGUAUUUUCAUUUAACUGGAUUUGAAGAAAGAACAAAUAUAUACGGGGGCAACCACGAUCUUUAUAAAGAACAUAAGUUCCAGGAAAACAGGAACCUUGUCUCUUGUUCACCUGUAUAUCAUCCGCAUAUAGAACAGUGCGUGGCACAUAAUAGGUGCUGAAAUUAAAUUCUACAAAUGCAAGAAUCUUUGUAUUGCCCAGUGAUGUAAGCCGAGCAUCUGAGACAGUGCCUGGCACCAAUAGGUGCCCAUAAUGAUUUCCAAAUGAGUGAAUGAAUGAUGAGUUCUAACUGGAGAAAGUCACAUUUUUAUGUAAAAAGUUAUUGUCUUAAUCUCUUUUAUAUUUUAAGGAAAAAAAUAAUUAACAUUCUGCUAGUCUGAAAUUCAGAUUUGCAGUGAAGAUAUGCCAAGACACAGAAAGAUGAUUUCUUUUCAGGAAAGAAUCUCUAAAUGAAAAUCAUGUGAUUAUUAGGCUCUAUACAUACCAUCAAAAUUCUAAUUCAGUCAGCCCCACCCUGAAUCCAGUCACAACUCUAAUUUAAUCCACUUCUAAUUGAAUCACUUUCUCCAAUUCUAGUAAACCCUUUCAUUACAAAGUUACCAGCCCACAAAAUGUGAAAAUUUUGCUUGAGGCUUUUAGUAAGAAAACAGAGGAAAAAAACUUAAUGCUCACAAGUUAGAAAUUACACUUAAAAUAGUAUAAAUGAUAGCAUCUGUUCUAUUUUUAACCUAAAAAUGAUUAAUUUUCUAAUUAUGUAUAUAUAUAAAGCUGGUGCUUUAAUCUAUUUUGAUAAGUGAAAAGGAUAGAAAAAUAAAGUAGCUUGCCUUCUACCAACAAAUCCUGAUUUUAAUUGAAGAUACUUUGGGACCCAGAGAGAUGAUUUCCUGGGAACAGCCUCAAAAUGAAAUUUGCUGAUGGUCCAGGCUAGAUUACUAGAUAAUGUUAUAAUUUAACCACCUCUUACCCAAUCCAAGCACAUAGCUACCUAUCACUUGCUGGCCACUCCAUUAUUACUAAGAUAAUUAAAAGCAAGCAUAUUAAAAAAACAGUUAAAAUGAAAGAACUAAAAUAUAGAAAAUAAAGGGAUAGAAAAAGACGUACCAGGCAAAUACUAAAAAACAACAAAAAACUUUGUGUAGCAAAUUAAUUAUCAAAAGUAUUCUUUGAGUAGCAUUAACAACGACAUUUGUGGGGCAUCUUACUGCAUUCCAAAGAAAAAUCUAGGAAAACGUUAAAUCAUGAACAUAUAUGUAACUAAUUGCAUGGUCUGGAAAUUUUGAAGCAAUAAUAAAGAAUUAAAAGGUAAAACUGACAAAUCUGUAAUGGUGGGAAUUUUUUUUAAUGGCAGUCUCUCCCAGAUGAAACAAAAUUAGCAACAUUGAUGCAUUGUGUGCAUAGAUAAUGUAUGCUUACUGUAUUUAUAUUUGCAUAUAUAUUUAUAUGUCACGUUUAUAUGUAUAUAAAAUUCUUCAACCAAAACAAAAUAUACAUUAUUUUUAAAAAAUGUUGGACAUUCAUAAAAUUAACUGUAAAGCCCCCAAAUAAGUUUCAAUAAAUGCCUAUGUACUCAUUUCUAAAUGAUAUAUAGUCUUUCUAAUUUUUGAACUUCAUAUAAAUGUUCAAAAUGUUUAUGUAAAUGAAUCAUGUAAAGUGUUCAAAAUAUUUAUGUAAAUGAAUUGUAUGCUUUUCUUUUAUGUUUUGCUUUUAUAUAGCUGUUGUACACUAUAUAGAAUUUAAUUGGGUAAAAAUACACAGUAUACUGGGCUGUUUAUACUCUGCACCCUGAUUCCCAACAUCAAGCUACCCCCAUGAGGACAUCUGGGCCCAACAGCUUGGGAGGAAGAAUGAUUAUUUAUUAAUUUAAAAAAUUAUUUCCAGUUUAUUCCAUAGUUGUUACUUUUUUCAGUGAUGUCAAUUAAAAUGUUUUAAAUUUUAGCUUCCUUUGAAUAUCAUGUAUUUUCCUAAAAUAUUAUGUUACUGUACCUUUUUUCUUAUUCCUACUUUUUCACUUAUUCCUACCAAAUACACUUUUUUUCCUCUUGACUAGCUUUGCUUUUGCAGGGGUCUAUCUUUUUGGAUCUAUUUACCAUUAAGCUUUUACAAAUACUAACCAAUUCCUUAAUUUCUAAUCUUAAUGUCACUUAUUUGUUCCACCAGCUUUUCUUAGAUUUAUAUUAUUUGUUGUUCUUUCUAAUUCUACAAUAAAGUGCUCAAUUAAAAAACUACACAGUAUAAUUUAUUCUAAUAAUUAUGUUCCCAGUAUGGUGAUAUUACAAAUAAUGCUACUGUGUACAUUUUUGUAAAUGUGUAGAGGUGCACGGGUUUCAUUUAUAUAUCCCACCAGCAGGUUGAGUUCUCCUUGUUCUGUAAUCUCACCACACUUGAUAUCGUCCAACUUUUAAUUCUAGGUAAUCUGGUGGGUUUAUAGUGAUAUCUUAUGGAGGUCUUAAUUUGCUUUUCCUUCAUUGCUAAUCACUUUUUGUUUGUUGUUCACUUGAAUUUCUUCUUUUGUGGGAUAUCUGUUUAAAUCUUUCUACUGAAUUAUCUUCUUUUUAGAUUGAUUUCUAUGAGUUCGUAAUACUUUGGGCCCCAGUUCUCUGUCAGUUAUUUGUGCUACAUAUAUAUUUUCCACUUAUUGGCUUUUCUUUUUGGUAUAUUUUGAUCUGCAAAAGCAUUAAUAUUGGGGUAAUUCAGUUUAUCAGUCUUUUCCUUUUUGCUUACUGCAUGGUAUUUCUUAAGAAAUUCUUCCCUACUUUGAGGUUACAUUGGUAUUGUCAGAUACUAUUUUCUGAAGGGUUUAUAGUCAUGCCUUUCACAGGCCCAUUAGAAAUUUGUUUUAUGCGUGGUGUGAUAGAGGCUCUUGGAAUAAUCCUGUGAAGCAAGCCUGGCCUUGUCCCUCUCUUCUGAGUGCUGGGCUCUUCUUGGCCCUUUGCACUUAAAUAUAAAAUCUUAAAUGUCACAUUUUACAAAAUUACUUUUGGGAUUUUGAUUGGGAUCACUGAAUCUCGGUUUAAGAAGAAAUGGACAGUUCUAAAUAUUGAGUCUUCAAAUCUAUUAACAGGUUAUGUGUUCCCAUUUAUUAGGUCUUUAAUUGCUUCUAAGUAAAUUUAUAUUAUUGCUUCCAUAGAAAUCUUGUAAAUUUUUGUUAGCUUUAGCCUUAGGUGCUGCUCAAUUUUUAAUGCUUUAAUAAGUGACCUCUUUCUUAAUUUGAUUGUUCAAUUGUUUGUUGCUGGUAUAUGUAAAUAUGAUUGUUUUUUAUAUAUUGUAUUUUAAUGCAGAGACCAUGCUAAACCCUCUUAUUAAUUAAAAUAGUUAACUCAUAACUCUGGGAUUUUUUAUGUAGAUUGUCAUAUCUAUGAAUAAGGAUAGCUUUCUCUCUCCUUCCCAGUCUUUUUCCCACUCCUUUUUUCCCCUGCUGCCUUAUGUCAGGUCGGACAUCCAGUGAGAUCAUAGGCUGAUCUUAACGGGAAAGCUUUCAAAUUUCAUUGUUAAGUAUGAUUUUUACUGAAGGUUUUGGGUCAGUGCAUUUUAUUCAAUUAAAAUUUCCCCCCACAAUUUUUAGUUUGCGAAAUGGAUAACAAAUUUAUCAAACAUUUCUCGGCAUCUAAUGAGAUUCUCUUUUAGUCUGUUUGUGUGUAUUAUUACAUUAAUUUAUUUAACUGUCAACUAACCUUUCAUUACUGAAAUAAACCCAUCUUGAUCAUGAUGAAUAUAUUGCAGGAAUCUGUUUACUCAGAUUCUAUUUAGGACUUUUGCUCCUAUGUUCCUAAGUGAGAUUGGCCCAUUAUUUUCCUUUCUCAUAUGUCUUUAUUUGAGACUUCUUUAAUAAAGUUUAUAUUAUAGAACAUGUUGGAAAAUACUUUCUCUUCUAUGGGAAAAUUUGUCUAAGCUUGGAAGUACUUCUUCCUUGAAAAUUUGCUGGGUCUAGGUUUUCUUUGUUUAGAGGGUUUUGACUAGCACUUCAGUUUCCUUGAUGGUUAUAGAUAUACUCAGUGUUCUAUUUUCUCUUUUGUCAAUUUUGCUGUUAUGUUUUUCUAAGAAUUUACUUAUUUCCCCUGAAUUUUAAAACAUAUUGGCUUAAACUUGUCACACUUUACUUACCAAAUUUUUGUUUACAUGCACAGCAUCUGUAGUGAUGACUGCUUUAUCUUUUCUGGUAUUAGUGUGACUUUGAUCUCUGGUCUUUCCCAUUUUCACCAGUCUUCUACUGGUGAAAUUUUCUUUCUUUUACUUUCUUUGCUGUAUUCUUUUUCUAACUUCUAGAGAAGUUAGAUGCUUAGUUCAUUUAAUUUUCCAGUCUCCUAUCUUUUCCUAGGUAUUUAUUUAACUACAAAUCUCCCUUUUACUAUUGCUUACCAACAUCUCACAGGUUUCAGAAUAUAGAAUAUUUGCUCUCAUUUAAAGUAUUUCCUAAUUUCCAUUUUUACUUCUUUCGAAAGUUAAAGUUUUAUUUAGAAUGCAUUUUUAAUUUUAUAAAAUUGGGGAUUUUUCUAGUUAUCUUUUUUAAAGUAAUUUAUAACUUUAUUUUAUGGUCAGGGAACCUGCUUUCUAUCCUCUUACAUUUGCUAAAACUUGUUUUAUGGCCACAGUUCUAUAGCCAAUUUUGUGAAAUUUAUGAAGAGCUUGAAAAAAAUUCGAUUCUGCAGUUUGGGAGUACAGAAGUUCAAUAUAUGCCAAUUAAGUCAAUUUUUAGAUUGCAUUGCUCAAAUAUUCUAUGUUGUUUUUCAACUACUUGAUUAGUUAAUAGAGUCCUGAUUUAUGUCUGAUUUCCCUUGGUCCCUGUUAGUCUCAAAAGUGUGUCUUAAGGUGAUAAAUGAUAGGAUGUAACUCAUUGUUAAAGUUUAGAGCCACCCUUGUUAAAGUCCAAAAUGAGGGUAUAAUUUCUACUAAGUCAACAUUCAACAUUUUACUGGAGAUUAUAUCUAAUUAUGUAAGACUGCCAUUCCUGCCCAGCUACAAAAAGAAAGAAAGAAAAAGAAUAAAAGCUAUGAC